Molecule: ribosomal RNA, 747 nt
Filed under: Meloidogyne sp. MN-2011
Lineage: Eukaryota; Metazoa; Nematoda; Chromadorea; Rhabditida; Meloidogynidae
Description: eukaryotic LSU rRNA
Rfam family: Eukaryotic large subunit ribosomal RNA
Source: RNAcentral
CAAUUUUCAGAGAGAUUCAGAGGACGUGAAACCGGUAAGGUGGAAACGGAUAGAGUCGGCGUAUCAUUCGUUAUUCACUUACAUUAUUUUUAUGUUGUGACCUCUGACCUCCAGAUUGGGACUGAGGGAAUGUGGCAAUUUGUUGUGGUGCAUUUACUUGAUUGGUGCUUGGGGAUGUUUGAGGCGGAUUUGUUUCCGUCCUUUUGAGGCCGACUUGCUGGUACCCGAACGGGGUUACCAUUUUUUGUCUUGUACGGUUGACUAUGGCUCAAGAGUAUUUAAUGGACUGAUCUGAGUGUAAGUUACGGUCGGGUGCGACCCUGCUUUUCAAUUGCUUCGGUCCCUUAAUGCUCUCGUACUCCUUCCCCAUGUAAAAGCCGGUCAUCUAUCCGACCCGUCUUGAAACACGGACCAAGGAGUUUAUCGUGUGCGCAAGUUUUUGGGUGUUAAAAACCUAAAAGCGAAAUGAAAGUAAAUGACUCUUUAGAGUCUGAUGUGCGAUCUUGUAAAAAAGUGUAGCAUGGCCCCAUUCUAACUGUUUACAGUAGGGUGGCGGAAGAGCGUACGCGGUGAGACCCGAAAGAUGGUGAACUAUUCCUGAGCAGGACGAAGCCAGAGGAAACUCUGGUGGAAGUCCGAAGCGGUUCUGACGUGCACAUCGAUCGUCUGACUUCGUAUAGGGCGAAAAACUAAUCGAACCAUCUAGUACUGUUUCUUUCCAAAAAAAACGCUGUACAGGUAACACAA